This 500-nucleotide ribosomal RNA is filed under the name uncultured bacterium. RNAcentral describes it as "partial 16S ribosomal RNA". It matches the Rfam family "Bacterial small subunit ribosomal RNA", at positions 30 to 523 of the family's 1533-position model. The record is from RNAcentral.
AUUGAACGCUGGCGGAAUGCUUUACACAUGCAAGUCGAACGGCAGCACGGACUUCGGUCUGGUGGCGAGUGGCGAACGGGUGAGUAAUGUAUCGGAACGUGCCCAGUCGUGGGGGAUAACGUAGUGAAAAUUACGCUAAUACCGCAUACGAUCUAUGGAUGAAAGCGGGGGAUCGCAAGACCUCGCGCGAUUGGAGCGGCCGAUAUCAGAUUAGGUAGUUGGUGGGGUAAAGGCCCACCAAGCCAACGACCUGUAGCUGGUCUGAGAGGACGACCAGCCACACUGGAACUGAGACACGGUCCAGACUCCUACGGGAGGCAGUAGUGGGGGAUUUUGGACAAUGGGCGAAAGCCUGAUCCAGCCAUUCCGCGUGCAGGAUGAAGGCCCUCGGGUUGUAAACUGCUUUUGUACAGAACGAAAGGGUUUCUACUAAUACUAGGAGCUCAUGACGGUACUGUAAGAAUAAGCACCGGCUAACUACGUGCCAGCCGCCGCUGUAA